This 307-nucleotide ribosomal RNA is filed under the name uncultured bacterium. Its description in RNAcentral is "partial 16S ribosomal RNA". It matches the Rfam family "Bacterial small subunit ribosomal RNA", at positions 506 to 807 of the family's 1533-position model. The record is from RNAcentral.
AGACAGCAGUCGCCGCGGGAAUACGGAGGGUGCAAGCGUUAAUCGGAAUUACUGGGCGUAAAGCGCACGCAGGCGGUCUGACAAGUCAGAUGUGAAAUCCCCGGGCUUAACCUGGGAACUGCAUUUGAAACUGUCAGGCUGGAGUCUUGUAGAGGGGGGUAGAAUUCCAGGUGUAGCGGUGAAAUGCGUAGAGAUCUGGAGGAAUACCGGUGGCGAAGGCGGCCCCCUGGACAAAGACUGACGCUCAGGUGCGAAAGCGUGGGGAGCAAACAGGAUUAGAUACCCGCGUAGUCCCUGUCUCUUAUAC